RNAcentral lists this ribosomal RNA (499 nucleotides) under uncultured bacterium. Its description in RNAcentral is "bacterial SSU rRNA". It matches the Rfam family "Bacterial small subunit ribosomal RNA", at positions 29 to 526 of the family's 1533-position model. The record is from RNAcentral.
AAUAAACGCUGGCGGCGUGCCUAACACAUGCAAGUCGAGCGAGAAAGCUCUUUCGGGAGUGAGUAAAGCGGCGAACGGUUGAGUAACACGUGAGAAUCUACCCUUCAGUGAGGAAUACCUCCGAGAAAUCGGUGUUAAUACUGCAUACGUCCCUUCGGGGAGAAAGGUGGCUUUAUGCUGCCGCUGAUGGAUGAGCUUGCGGGCUAUCAGUUAGUUGGUGAGGUAAUGGCUCACCAAGACUAUGACGGCUAGCCGGCCUGAGAGGGUGUACGGCCAGACUGGAACUUAGACACGGUCCAGACUCCUACGGGAGGCAGCAGUGGGGAAUAUUGCGCAAUGGGCGAAAGCCUGACGCAGCGACGCCGCGUGAAGGAUGAAGGUCUUCGGAUUGUAAACUUCUGUUAAGUGGGAAGAAAGACACAUCUCUAAUACAGAUGUGGGAUGACGGUACCAUUAGAGAAAGCACCGGCUAACUUCGUGCCAGCAGCCGCCGUAAAAC